RNAcentral lists this unclassified non-coding RNA (210 nucleotides) under soil metagenome. Its description in RNAcentral is "partial contains 5.8S ribosomal RNA, internal transcribed spacer 2, and large subunit ribosomal RNA". The record is from RNAcentral.
AACCUUAUGGACCUGCGGGCGUAUACCUGCGGAGGGAUCAUUACCGAGUUUACAACUCCCAAACCCCUGUGAACAUACCACUUGUUGCCUCGGCGGAUCAGCCCGCUCCCGGUAAAACGGGACGGCCCGCCAGAGGACCCCUAAACUCUGUUUCUAUAUGUAACUUCUGAGUAAAACCAUAAAUAAAUCAAAACUUUCAACAAUGGAUCU